RNAcentral lists this ribosomal RNA (468 nucleotides) under uncultured bacterium. RNAcentral's name for it is "partial 16S ribosomal RNA". It matches the Rfam family "Bacterial small subunit ribosomal RNA", at positions 28 to 507 of the family's 1533-position model. The record is from RNAcentral.
GACGAACGCUGGCGGCGUGCUUAACACAUGCAAGUCGAACGGAAAGGCCCUGCUUUUGUGGGGUGCUCGAGUGGCGAACGGGUGAGUAACACGUGAGUAACCUGCCCUUGCCUUUGGGAUAACUUCAGGAAACUGGGGCUAAUACCGGAUAGGAGCCCCUGCUGCAUGGUGGGGGUUGGAAAGUUUCGGCGGUUGGGGAUGGACUCGCGUCUUAUCAGCUUGUUGGUGGGGUAGUGGCUUACCAAGGCUUGGACGGGUAGCCGGCCUGAGAGGGUUACCGGACACAUUGGGACUGAGAUACGGCCCAGACUCCUACGGGAGGCAGCAGUGGGGAAUAUUGCACAAUGGGCGGAAGCCAGAUGCAGCAACGCCGCGUGCGGGAAGACGGCCUUCGGGUUGGAAACCGCUUUCGCCUGUGACGAAGCGUGAGUGACGGUAAUGGGUAAAGAAGCACCGGCUAACUACGUG